Molecule: ribosomal RNA, 423 nt
Filed under: uncultured bacterium
Lineage: Bacteria
Description: partial 16S ribosomal RNA
Rfam family: Bacterial small subunit ribosomal RNA
Source: RNAcentral
AAUAUUUGACAAUGGGGGCAACCCUGAUCCAGCCAUGCCGCGUGUGUGAAGAAGGUCUUCGGAUUGUACCGCACUUUAAGUUGGGAGGAAGGGCUUUAGGUUAAUACCCUGAAGUUUUGACGUUACCAACAUAAUAAGCACCGGCUAAAUCUGUUCCAGCACCCGCGGUAAUACAGAGGGUGCAAGCGUUAAUCGGAAUUACUGGGCGUAAAGGGAGCGUAGGUGGUUCAGGAAGAUGGGUGUGAAAUCCCCGGGCUUAACCUGGGAACUGCUUUCAUAACUGCUGAGCUAGAGUACGGUAGAGGGUAGUGGAAUUUCCUGUGUAGCGGUGAAAUGCGUAGAUAUAGGAAGGAACACCAGUGGCGAAGGCGACUACCUGGACUGAUACUGACACUGAGGUGCGAAAGCGUGGGGAGCAAACAG